This is a small nuclear RNA of Dipodomys ordii (Ord's kangaroo rat), 107 nucleotides long. NCBI's taxonomy places the organism in Eukaryota, Metazoa, Chordata, Mammalia, Rodentia, Heteromyidae. The record is from Ensembl.
GUGCUUGCUUUGGCAGCACAUAUAUUAAAAUUGGAAUGAUGCAGAGAAGAUUAGCAUGGACUCUGUGCAAGGAUGACACACAAAUUCAUGAAGCGUUCCAUAUUUUU